RNAcentral lists this long non-coding RNA (2041 nucleotides) under Sus scrofa (pig). RNAcentral's name for it is "lncRNA (ENSSSCG00005009126.1)". Lineage: Eukaryota; Metazoa; Chordata; Mammalia; Artiodactyla; Suidae. The record is from RNAcentral.
GGAACUGUACAGGAACUGUACAGGAAGACACAUGCUCAGAAUGGCCCCCCUUCUCCUCCCCAGCUCACACCCCACUGACUCAGCAAGCCCAGAGCCACCCCUUCGCACCCCUUCCUGGCCCAGUGCACCCCCAAACCGGCCGUGCAAGCACACCCUUCAGACUUUGUAGCUGCUUUUAUUAUUAAUAUUAUCUUUUCCUUUAAACAUCCCUUUAAGGGUGAAAUGAAAUCCAACCAUUUACAGAGAAAAUGAUUUCAGAAUGUACAUAUUGAUUUUUCCCUUACAAAAAAAAUAAUACUAUUGUUAUUACUGGUGUCCUUAACUUACACGUUUCCCAGGGCCCUGCCUGCUGCUCGGGCAAGUUGUGUUUCCCCACCCCGACGGUCACCUUUGCCCCCAAAGCUCUCCCACGCCUGCCCGUGGGAACCAGCGUGACCCGAGGGCGGGCCGGGCCUCCUUGAGGCUGGAGGCCAUCGGGCCAGUGGUUCCCUGGGGAAGAAAGCUGGCUCUGGCGACAGGGCCAGCAGUGCGCUGGCGGUCACAUUCACAGUUUGGCUUCCCUUUAAUACUGGGGGAGUGGCCCAGGGUUCCCCUGCCCCCGAAAUUCCCAGUGUAUGAUGUGAGUAAAAGUGAAAUUCUUCAACCCCAUGCCUUGGCUCUAAGCUCCUCCCCAAUUCCUUCUCCUGCCCCUGAGCCAGUGGACCGGAGGCCAGGGCCCCCCGGCCAGCCUGGAGAAGGGGGCAGAGAGGUAGCGGGCUUGCAGCUGUACAGCCCUCAGGCCAGGCGGCUUCUUAUUCCAUGGACUGAAAGACAGACAGACAGAUGGCCCCCACGUCCCCUUUCGCCUUGCUUUCCAGGCUCCCCAAGUGGCUGUCAGCCUCAGUCGUUUUGGGGAGUUGCAGGAGGUGUGGCCACAGGCUCCAGGUCCCCGGAAAGGGGCGGCCUGGGCCCUGCUCUCACCUCCACACACAAGCAUCUAUGUACAGGGACACACCGACGUAGACACGUACAAGUACACACCAAGCAUGCACCCAUGCCCAUAAAUACACACACACGCGCACAAACGGGCACCAUUCCACAGGUAGGCUCUGCGUCCUGGCAUUACUGGGUAAACGCCUGAGGGGGCUUGGGGGAGGGGGUGUUCAUCCUGCCCACAACUGCAGGCUCUCACCACACCCGGGCCCUGGGUGGCCAGUGAGGCGGCGGAAGCACUCAUUCUACCCUCUGUCCUCCCCCUCUGCCAGCCAUGCUCCUCGUCCCCACACCCAUCCCCUCCUCCUUCCUUUAAGAAAUGAACGGGGCAGCCCAGCCGAAAACUACUCUUCCCAGCUUCCCUUGCAGCUACUAGCAGCCAUGUGACUAAGUCCUGGCCAGUGAGAUGCCAUCAGAAGUGACUGUGCCACCUCUAGCUCAUGCUCUUACCAGAAAGGGUGUGCCCUCCCCAUGUCUAUUCUGAGUCCCCCAGGCGUGGACGCACACAUGACGGUGGGCGCUGCAGCAACCCCUCUGUCUGGAAUUGGAAGGUGUGACAAAGGGCAGACAGCAGAGCUGCCUGCUAGAGCCAGGCCGUCUCCCUCCCCGGGGGGGGAGUUAGAAACAGGCUUCGGCCUUCCUUCACUCACUGUAUUUUGGGGUCUCUUAAUUACAGCGGUUUAGAAUCUACUCUAGCAAAUACAUCCCCCUCCCCCAUGAGGCAACGAAGGAAUGAGGUGACACAGGACUGGCCUUACUGUCCCUCUUGGGCCGAGGGCAGGCUUGUGGCUCCUUCCUGGCCCCGAGGCAGCCCCAAGGAGGGGCACUUGGGUGACUCCACCUGUGACGGUGGAGAGCUGGCACUGUGGGUUCCAGUGGGAAGGGGUGAUGGGGAGGGGGAGGCUCCUCCCCCCGGGUCUGACCUACGAGGUUGGCUGAUGGUCCCGUCCCAUUCUGAGAGCUGGACACCUGGCCUUGCCAGGACUGGGGGGUGGGGGGUGGGUGGCACAAGAUGGAGGUAUAAAACGGAAGGAAUGUCAAGGGCAGGUCUGGAACCAAAAGGAAGACU